AACGAACGCUGGCGGCAUGCCUAACACAUGCAAGUCGAACGAGACCUUCGGCUCUACUGGCUCACUGGUGCGUAACGCAUUGGAACCUGCCUUUAUAAUCCGAAUAACUCCUCGCAAGGGCUUCUAAUUCCGGCUAAUGUCCUCGGUCCAAUGCUUUAUCGCCUUUGGAUGGGCCCGCGUUGGAUUAGCUAGUUUGUAGGGUAAAAGCCUACCAAGUCGACGACCCAUAGCUGGUCUGAGAGGAUGAUCAGCCACACAGGGACUGAGACACGGCCCAGACUCCUACGGGAGGCAGAAGUGGGGAAUAUUGGACAAGGGGCGAAAGGCUGAUCCAGAAAUGCCGCGUGAGUGAUGAAGGCCUUAGGGUUGUAAAGCUCUUUUAGCCGGGAUGAUAAUGACAGUACCGGGAGAAUAAGCUCCGGCUAACUCCGUG
This 433-nucleotide ribosomal RNA is filed under the name uncultured bacterium. RNAcentral's name for it is "partial 16S ribosomal RNA". It matches the Rfam family "Bacterial small subunit ribosomal RNA", at positions 29 to 507 of the family's 1533-position model. The record is from RNAcentral.